GACGAACGCUGGCGGCGUGCUUAACACAUGCAAGUCGAACGGAAAGGCCCUGCUUUUGUGGGGUGCUCGAGUGGCGAACGGGUGAGUAACACGUAAGUAACCUGCCCUUGACUUUGGGAUAACUUCAGGAAACUGGGGCUAAUACCGGAUAGGAGCUCCUGCUGCAUGGUGAGGGUUGGAAAGUUUCGGCGGUUGGGGAUGGACUCGCGGCUUAUCAGCUUGUUGGUGGGGUAGUGGCUUACCAAGGCUUUGACGGGUAGCCGGCCUGAGAGGGUGACCGGCCACAUUGGGACUGAGAUACGGCCCAGACUCCUACGGGAGGCAGCAGUGGGGAAUAUUGCACAAUGGGCGGAAGCCUGAUGCAGCAACGCCGCGUGCGGGAUGACGGCCUUCGGGUUGUAAACCGCUUUCGCCUGUGACGAAGCGUGAGUGACGGUAAUGGGUAAAGAAGCACCGGCUAACUACGU
This 467-nucleotide ribosomal RNA is filed under the name uncultured bacterium. RNAcentral's name for it is "partial 16S ribosomal RNA". It matches the Rfam family "Bacterial small subunit ribosomal RNA", at positions 28 to 506 of the family's 1533-position model. The record is from RNAcentral.